GACGAACGCUGGCGGCGUGCUUAACACAUGCAGGUCGAACGGAAAGGCCCUGCUUUUGUGGGGUGCUCGAGUGGCGAACGGGUGAGUAACACGUGAGUAACCUGCCCUUGACUUUGGGAUAACUUCAGGAAACUGGGGCUAAUACCGGAUAGGAGCUCCUGCUGCAUGGUGGGGGUUGGAAAGUUUCGGCGGUUGGGGAUGGACUCGCGGCUUAUCAGCUUGUUGGUGGGGUAGUGGCUUACCAAGGCUUUGACGGGUAGCCGGCCUGAGAGGGUGACCGGCCACUUUGGGACUGAGAUACGGCCCAGACUCCUACGGGAGGCAGCAGUGGGGAAUAUUGCACAAUGGGCGGAAGCCUGAUGCAGCAACGCCGCGUGCGGGAUGACGGCCUUCGGGUUGUAAACCGCUUUCGCCUGUGACGAAGCGUGAGUGACGGUAAUGGGUAAAGAAGCACCGGCUAACUACGUG
RNAcentral lists this ribosomal RNA (468 nucleotides) under uncultured bacterium. RNAcentral describes it as "partial 16S ribosomal RNA". It matches the Rfam family "Bacterial small subunit ribosomal RNA", at positions 28 to 507 of the family's 1533-position model. The record is from RNAcentral.